AGUCAUUUCAUAAUUUUCAUCAACACCACCGGAUUGUAUUAAAAGUUCGAUAAAACAAACAGAACAUUGGUAAAAUUGAAGAAUGAAAAUGAAUGUGGAUAUGAAAUUCGAAAGGAACAAGUUGAAAAAAUGACAUUUUAAUCCAAAAUCUACAACUCAACAGUAGAAUACUCAGCUUUAAGUGCGACUAGAAACUUUUAGACAUUUGUACAGAGCAAGGAAUUCGUCCAAAACAUUUGGAAGGCCACAGUUAAUCUUGAAGGAAUGAGGUUAUGCAAUAGAUGAAAUAAAUUUAAAAAUGUUUAAAAUAAAGUAGUAUUUGUAAAUGACUAUUAUAUCCUUACAACCCUAGGUAUUACGACUACUAUAUUCCUUGCAGCCCUAAUUCUUCCCCAUAGAUAUGGGACUUUGAUUUUGAAUGAAAAACACACAAAUUUAUUAACUUCUUUAUCUUAUUUUUUCUUUAGUUCAUAACAUGUUAUCAGCAUGAUUCUCUAAAAAUUAUAAUAAAUUAGCUUGAAGGUAACUAUAUCCAAUCUCAAAUCAUACGCAUUAUAUUUUUUCAUUGUCGCAUACAUGCAUAAUUAAUAUUUUUACAGGCGCGUUAGAGAUUGUGUGCACAUCUAUAUUCAACACAGCUAUAUGUAUAGGGAGAUGUUGGUUCCCCACCUAUAGGGGGUGCCAUGUGACCAUAUACAACUAGCUUUACUCAUAUGUAUAUCCUCUUUUUGCGUGAACUUGAAGGUCUGUAUUCAGCAUCUUGCCCGCGUGAAUUUAUUUUAUAUAUGUAGAUCUACUUUUUCGAUUCACAAUAAUAU
Molecule: long non-coding RNA, 818 nt
Filed under: Olea europaea subsp. europaea
Lineage: Eukaryota; Viridiplantae; Streptophyta; Magnoliopsida; Lamiales; Oleaceae
Source: RNAcentral